RNAcentral lists this ribosomal RNA (547 nucleotides) under uncultured bacterium. RNAcentral describes it as "bacterial SSU rRNA". It matches the Rfam family "Bacterial small subunit ribosomal RNA", at positions 771 to 1319 of the family's 1533-position model. The record is from RNAcentral.
ACCCAAUAGAUACCCAGGUAGUCCACGCCGUAAACGUUGGGAACUAGAUGUGGGGUCCAUUCCACGGACUCCGUGUCGCAGCUAAACGCAUUAAGUUCCCCGCCUGGGGAGUACGGCCGCAAGGCUAAAACUCAAAGGAAUUGACGGGGGCCCGCACAAGCGGCGGAGCAUGCGGAUUAAUUCGAUGCAACGCGAAGAACCUUACCAAGGCUUGACAUAUACCUGAAAAGGCUGGAAACAGUCUCCCCGCAAGGCAGGUAUACAGGUGGUGCAUGGUUGUCGUCAGCUCGUGUCGUGAGAUGUUGGGUUAAGUCCCGCAACGAGCGCAACCCUCGUUCUAUGUUGCCAGCGGGUUAUGCCGGGAACUCAUAGGAGACUGCCGGGGUCAACUCGGAGGAAGGUGGGGAUGACGUCAAAUCAUCAUGCCCCUUAUGUCUUGGGCUUCACGCAUGCUACAAUGGCCGGUACAAAGGGCUGCAAUACCGUAAGGUGGAGCGAAUCCCAAAAAGCCGGUCUCAGUUCGGAUUGAGGUCUGCAACCCGACCUC